UUGUCCACAUCAGGCCUAAGACAAUGGUUCAUGCUUGUACACCGUCACUUAGGCUAGGAUGCUGAGUGCUACACUGUGCUAGACCUUAGACAAAAGCUCUUUUCUGCGUGCAAUGUAUUGUAGCAACAGGCCUUGGCAACAGCUUAAGUCCAUAGUGAUGCUGCAAUGCCUGCAUGGUUUCUGUGAAAAACAGGAGUCAGAGCUGGCUGUUCUGCUUUCAAAAAGCAAGCACUUACUGCACCAUGGGCUGCAACACUUCCAGCAGGGUAACUGUUGAGGGAUCACCACCCAAGAAUCCACAUUAUGACAGAGAAGCUCAAAAUCAGACAUCAGAGGUGGUCUUCCCAAGAAACAUGUAAGCUUACUAGAAAAGAAAAGGCAAACAUCAUCAGAUAUCCUGGAGGAGCUUCGGAUGCAAGGCCUAAUCAAGAACCAAAGUACAACUUCUAAAAAUAGAACAGCAGAUGAUUCCAUGUUGGUCGAUGCUGAAAGGCCACUACAGAAGCCACCAAUCAAACUAGAAAAGCUUGAAAUCAAAAAGAAGAAAGGACAUAAAUUAACAAUAGAGGAGCCUGAAAACAAGACAGAUUUUCUUGAAAAUAGAAGAAAUUACAAUAUCUAAUCUGAACUCCUGCACUGUAAUAUCCAAAUACUUGAUAAUCUAGAAUGUAUGUAUCAACAUAUCAAUGCACAAGGGAUGCUUAUACAGUAUUCUUUCUUUCUCUCAUUUUUUAAAUGAACUUAAUGAAUGAGUCAACUCAUCUGUAAGUUUUAUUGAUUCAAAUGGGCUUAUUCUAACUGCAAUUUAUUUUAAUAUACUGUAGUAUGUCACAGUUAGAGUCAAUGAUUUAUUGAAUCAAUGAAACUUAUGGAGGAGGUGACUCACCUAAUCCCCAUUGAUUCAGUGGGCCUAUGCUAGCACAAUUUGCUAUGCAAAGGAACACGUUUUGGGCUACUGACUGUCCUUUUUCCUGUGAGCAUAGGUGCACACAGUGGAUACAAAUACUGUAGUACCUUUGCACGCAACAUAUACCCUCAAAAGAGAAAAUACCAAAUUAUACAUAUAUAUAGUGCCUGUGCGCCUACAGCUUGCUUGGACACACACUCUGGGCUAGUGGUUCCCAACCUUGGGUAACCCAGGUGUUCUUGGAUUGCAACUCCCAGAAACCCUGGGGUGGAGACUUCUGGGAAUUGCAGUCCAAGAACAAUUGGGCUACCCAAGGUUAGGAACCGCUAUUCUAGGCUAACCUUUCCCAAACUAGAAAGCCUCCAGAAACAUUUGAUUACUUCUGGAUGGUAAAGGAUUGGUGAAGACUGCUCCCCUAUAUGGAGGUCAGGACAUGCUCUACCAUUGCAAUCCUAAACUCUACCAUCCAGACUAUGAUUAUGUUCAUAUCACUAAUUUCUUCUUGGGGCUAUUUUAUGUAAGUACAUGGAUCAAAAUAUGUUUCAUAUUUGCUAUACCUUGUCUCUUUUCAGUCAAAGGAAAGACUACUGAAAAAAGAAUUGCUGGCUGACAGACCUUCACUAAUAAAUCCCUAUGAAGGCAAGACUUCA
Long non-coding RNA from Pogona vitticeps (central bearded dragon), 1557 nucleotides. Ensembl annotates it as stathmin domain containing 1. The record is from Ensembl. Lineage: Eukaryota; Metazoa; Chordata; Lepidosauria; Squamata; Agamidae.